GGCCUUGAGCUCUCUGAAGCUGUAAACAAGGAGAGAGAGAGAGAGAGAGAGAGAGAGAGAGAGAGAGAGAGCAAAAGAGAGAAAGCAAAAGAGACAGGGGAAAGAGGCCUGACUCGCCCCUCCAGAUUGUGGGAGAGAAGAGAUUUUUCUUGCCUUGCAAUCUCGCUUGGAACCGUGCGGAUUUCCAUAAAGAAAAGAGUGAUCUCUAUCCAGAUUCCUGCAAUGUCUACUUCAUUCUCUCCAGGCCUUCCCCCUUGGCCACCAGAAGACUGACCCAAGAGACUUCUGAGCUGCUGUUGGGAACUGACACUGCUUUCCACCUACUUGGGCUUAGCUUCCCCCCAAAACCCAGUGACCAGACCAUCUACUCCCAUUUGGGGAAGAUAACAGUACCCCUGCACCUUAACUGCCCUGUUCUAUGUGACCUGGCUUUCUUCAGGAAUAACUUACAAAGAAGAAAGAACAGCUUGGAGCUGUGUUUACAUCUAGUUCUACCGAUCCAUUCACAUCUGGAGGCUUUAUUUAUAACUCCCUCUAUAACUCUCUCUGUUUGUGGGCACUGGUGGCUCUAUUGACAGGCUGAUGUCUACAAAAUAUUGCUCUAUCUCUAACUGUACCUAAAUGUGCUGCGGUUGUAUUUGCAGAUUUAUGCCUGAGGAAGAUAUAAUUAUUUCCAUUGUAUUUGUGCAUAUACAGUAGUUAUAGGAACAGAUUUAUAUAUGGUAAAAAAUAUACGACUCCCUUAUAGCCAUCCAGCUUUAUGGACAUUUGAUAUCCUGACAGAUUUAUAUCUCUCAGCAGCUAUAUAGA
This is a long non-coding RNA of Dipodomys spectabilis (banner-tailed kangaroo rat), 810 nucleotides long. RefSeq lists it as uncharacterized. The transcript has 3 exons. Lineage: Eukaryota; Metazoa; Chordata; Mammalia; Rodentia; Heteromyidae. The record is from RefSeq and is a predicted model, not a curated record.